Molecule: ribosomal RNA, 270 nt
Filed under: uncultured prokaryote
Description: partial 16S ribosomal RNA
Rfam family: Bacterial small subunit ribosomal RNA
Source: RNAcentral
UACGUAGGGGCAAGCGUUAUCCGGAUUUACUGGGUGUAAAGGGAGCGUAGGUGGCAAAGUAAGUCAGAUGUGAAAGCCCACGGCUCAACCGUGGAAGGUCAUUGGAAACUGGGUCACUUGAAUAUAGAAGAGGAAAGUGGAAUUCCAUGUGUAGCGGUGAAAUGCGUAGAUAUAUGGAGGAACACCGGUGGCGAAGGCAGGUCUCUGGGCCACUACUGACGCUGAGAAGCGAAAGCAUGGGGAGCGAACAGGAUUAGAUACCCCUGUAGU